This 253-nucleotide ribosomal RNA is filed under the name uncultured bacterium. RNAcentral describes it as "partial 16S ribosomal RNA". It matches the Rfam family "Bacterial small subunit ribosomal RNA", at positions 524 to 776 of the family's 1533-position model. The record is from RNAcentral.
UACGAAGGGGGCUAGCGUUGGUCGGAAUCACUGGGCGUAAAGAGCACGUAGGCGGAUCUUUAAGUCAGGGGUGAAAUCCCGAGGCUCAACCUCGGAACUGCCUUUGAUACUGGAGGUCUCGAGUCCGGGAGAGGUGAGUGGAACUGCGAGGGUAGAGGUGAAAUUCGUAGAUAUUCGCAAGAACACCAGUGGCGAAGGCGGCUCACUGGCCCGGUACUGACGAUGAGGUGCGAAAGAGUGGGGAGCAAACAGG